AAGUCGUAACAAGGUUUCCGUAGGUGAACCUGCGGAAGGAUCAUUAAAAAAAAUCAUUUAUCCGGGAAUUUGUAUUCAAAUCGCUCUCUAAAUAAAUAAAUAAAACAUUUUUUUAUAUAAUAAACUAAAGCAAACUUUCAACAACGGAUCUCUCGGCUCUC
This 161-nucleotide unclassified non-coding RNA is filed under the name fungal sp. RNAcentral's name for it is "partial internal transcribed spacer region". The stretch from base 1 to 46 matches the Rfam family "Eukaryotic small subunit ribosomal RNA", at positions 1786 to 1831 of the family's 1831-position model. The record is from RNAcentral. Lineage: Eukaryota; Fungi.